CCUACGGGUGGCAGCAGUGAGGAAUAUUGGUCAAUGGGCGAGAGCCUGAACCAGCCAAGUCGCGUGAAGGAUGACGGAUCUAUGGAUUGUAAACUUCUUUUAUCUGGGAGUAAAGUGCGGAACGUGUUCCUUUUUGUAUGUACCAUAUGAAUAAGCAUCGGCUAACUCCGUGCCAGCAGCCGCGGUAAUACGGAGGAUGCGAGCGUUAUCCGGAUUUAUUGGGUUUAAAGGGUGCGUAGGUGGUAAAUUAAGUCAGCGGUGAAAUUUUGUGGCUCAACCAUAAAAUUGCCGUUGAAACUGGUUGACUUGAGUGUAUUAGAGGUAGGCGGAAUGCGUGGUGUAGCGGUGAAAUGCAUAGAUAUCACGCAGAACUCCGAUUGGGAAGGCAGCUUACCAGAGUAUAACUGACGCUGAUGCACGAAAGCGUGGGGAUCAAACAGGAUUAGAUACCCCAGUAGUC
This 460-nucleotide ribosomal RNA is filed under the name uncultured bacterium. RNAcentral describes it as "partial 16S ribosomal RNA". It matches the Rfam family "Bacterial small subunit ribosomal RNA", at positions 338 to 795 of the family's 1533-position model. The record is from RNAcentral.